This 838-nucleotide ribosomal RNA is filed under the name Microbacterium sp. EC48. RNAcentral's name for it is "bacterial SSU rRNA". It matches the Rfam family "Bacterial small subunit ribosomal RNA", at positions 54 to 902 of the family's 1533-position model. The record is from RNAcentral. Lineage: Bacteria; Bacillati; Actinomycetota; Actinomycetes; Micrococcales; Microbacteriaceae. RNAcentral also lists the same sequence under 1 other name.
CAUGCAAGUCGAACGAUGAAGCCCAGCUUGCUGGGUGGAUUAGUGGCGAACGGGUGAGUAACACGUGAGCAACCUGCCCCUGACUCUGGGAUAAGCGCUGGAAACGGCGUCUAAUACUGGAUAUGUCCCGUCACCGCAUGGUGUGCGGGUGGAAAGAUUUUUCGGUUGGGGAUGGGCUCGCGGCCUAUCAGCUUGUUGGUGAGGUAAUGGCUCACCAAGGCGUCGACGGGUAGCCGGCCUGAGAGGGUGACCGGCCACACUGGGACUGAGACACGGCCCAGACUCCUACGGGAGGCAGCAGUGGGGAAUAUUGCACAAUGGGCGGAAGCCUGAUGCAGCAACGCCGCGUGAGGGAUGACGGCCUUCGGGUUGUAAACCUCUUUUAGCAGGGAAGAAGCGAGAGUGACGGUACCUGCAGAAAAAGCACCGGCUAACUACGUGCCAGCAGCCGCGGUAAUACGUAGGGUGCAAGCGUUAUCCGGAAUUAUUGGGCGUAAAGAGCUCGUAGGCGGUCUGUCGCGUCUGCUGUGAAAUCCCGAGGCUCAACCUCGGGCUUGCAGUGGGUACGGGCAGACUAGAGUGCGGUAGGGGAGAUUGGAAUUCCUGGUGUAGCGGUGGAAUGCGCAGAUAUCAGGAGGAACACCGAUGGCGAAGGCAGAUCUCUGGGCCGUAACUGACGCUGAGGAGCGAAAGGGUGGGGAGCAAACAGGCUUAGAUACCCUGGUAGUCCACCCCGUAAACGUUGGGAACUAGUUGUGGGGUCCUUUCCACGGAUUCCGUGACGCAGCUAACGCAUUAAGUUCCCCGCCUGGGGAGUACGGCCGCAAGGCUAAAACUC